CAGGUGGGAAGUAGUUGUUGAUUAAGAAAACCAAAAGAAGAUGGCUGAUGCAUAUUGUCAAAGAGAAAAAGAAACAGUAAUUCAUAUGAUGAGCAGCAACUUUCUGGAAUCAGUAAACUACUCUAAAAAGAAAUUUCCAACAAUGAUAUGAAUUUAGGUUUAUAUUCAAUAAAAGGACCUGGAAAUUACUUAAAUGGAAAAUAGGAGAACAUUUCUACUCUGGCAUGAACAUUGUGCAUGUUGUGAAUCAGGAUCUGGAAUAUUUUUUGUUUACAUGUUUAAACUCAUAUUUCUUGUACAUGAUCUCAAAGUCUCCUUUAAGAACUGUGUUUAGGAUUUAUCCUUCAAUCUCAACAAAGACUGAAUAGUGUCAUAUUCUUCAACUUUUGGUAUCCCUCCUGCUUUAAGUUCUCCAAAUGAUUGAACACAGUCAGCAUUUGAUUGGAG
Molecule: long non-coding RNA, 447 nt
Filed under: Mytilus galloprovincialis (Mediterranean mussel)
Lineage: Eukaryota; Metazoa; Mollusca; Bivalvia; Mytilida; Mytilidae
Source: RNAcentral